Long non-coding RNA from Hibiscus syriacus, 524 nucleotides. RefSeq lists it as uncharacterized. Lineage: Eukaryota; Viridiplantae; Streptophyta; Magnoliopsida; Malvales; Malvaceae. The transcript has 3 exons. The record is from RefSeq and is a predicted model, not a curated record.
AGCAUUAUAUUCUGUAUGAGAACAGUUAUUCCUAACAUUUAGAAACCGGACAGUGGCUGUCUGGAACUUCCGUGGAGAACUUGUAACUUCAUUUGAGGAUCACCUUCUGUGGCAUCCUGACUGCAAUACUAAUAAUAUAUAUCACAAGUGAUCAGGUUAUCAUCUCUUACUGCAAAGCUGAUUCUGAUGAUCCAUUGUCUGAAGGAAAUGGGUCCAUCAAUAUCAGCAACAUAUCGACUGGGAAGUGCCUUGCUAAAAUAAGAGCAAGUAAUAGUUCCCCAGUGGAAAAGCAAUGUAGCUGUUGCAAUGUUAGUUAUGGUAGCAGGUCGAACAUGAACGGCCGUUCAUCCAAGAUUAGAAGCACGGUGGCAGAAGCUUGGAAGAUAUCACCGCUCUUUUAUGACGAAGAGCACAUGAGAUUUACACAGGGAACAUGUAUGGUCUAGUUCAUGUGUGGUCCAACUGAUGGGUUUGAUUUUGAUUAGUAAAUUUAUAUUUUGACUUUGGUGGAAAGUGGAGAAGAG